GCACGUGCCAGAUCGAUAGCUCUUUCAAGGACUGGGCUUGGGCUAGUGAACCAUCCUUGGCCCAGUAAUGGCCCAUAUACGAAUUCCUCGUGGUUUCUUCCGCUUAUUCCAUCUCCCAGCGAGGUCUCAGUAAUGGCUGAAUCAGCGAGGAACCCGACAGGAAAUGAUUGGAAACAAGAACAAAAUGAUGACGAUGAUGAUGAUGAUGAUGAUGAUGAUGAUGAUGAUGAUGAAGAAGGUUAGAUGGAGACCUCUCUCAAUUCCUUCCUCCUGUAGCCUACAACUUUUCUGCACUCUCUGCGAAAAUGGUCAGCGUGUGAUUCUGUAACAAUCCUCGAGAACAUUUAAUUACUCUAUUUGUGAUUAAGGUGAAUAAAUCUACGUUUAUAUGUUUUUUAGCAAC
This 403-nucleotide long non-coding RNA is filed under the name Manihot esculenta (cassava). RNAcentral describes it as "long non-coding RNA (MESC_LNC005204)". The record is from RNAcentral. Lineage: Eukaryota; Viridiplantae; Streptophyta; Magnoliopsida; Malpighiales; Euphorbiaceae.